AGCGGCAGGCUUAAUACAUGCAAGUUGAGGGGCAGCAUGAUAUACGCGAGUAUAUUGAUGGCGACCGGCGGACGGGUGAGUAAUAGGUAGGAGACCUACCUCAUACAGGGGGAUAGCAUAGAGAAAUCUGUGGUAAUACCCCAUGAGGUUAUAUGAAUAGAGGCAUAUAAUCAAAGCAUAAGCGAUUAUGCGGUAUGAGAGGGGCCUACUGACCAUUAGCUAGUUGGUGAGGUAAGGGCUCACCAAGGCGAAGAUGGUUAGGGGUUUUGAGAGAGAGACCCCCCACAUUGGAACUGAGAGACGGUCCAGACUCCUACGGGAGGCAGCAGUGAGGAAUAUUGGUCAAUGGGCGGAAGCCUGAACCAGCCAUCCCGCGUGAAGGAAGACAGCCUUACGGGUUGUAAACUUCUUUUCUGUCAGAAGAAUAAGCUUGUCGAGACGAGUGAUGCCGGUAUGACAGGAAUAAGCAUCGGCUAACUCCGUG
Molecule: ribosomal RNA, 484 nt
Filed under: uncultured bacterium
Lineage: Bacteria
Description: bacterial SSU rRNA
Rfam family: Bacterial small subunit ribosomal RNA
Source: RNAcentral